UACGGAGGGUGCAAGCGUUAUCCGGAUUCACUGGGUUUAAAGGGUGCGUAGGUGGGUUGGUAAGUCAGUGGUGAAAUCUCCGAGCUUAACUUGGAAACUGCCAUUGAUACUAUCAGUCUUGAAUAUUGUGGAGGUCAGCGGAAUAUGUCAUGUAGCGGUGAAAUGCUUAGAUAUGACAUAGAACACCAAUUGCGAAGGCAGCUCGCUACACGAAUAUUGACUCUGAGGCACGAAAGCGUGGGGAUCAAACAGG
This 253-nucleotide ribosomal RNA is filed under the name uncultured bacterium. Its description in RNAcentral is "partial 16S ribosomal RNA". It matches the Rfam family "Bacterial small subunit ribosomal RNA", at positions 524 to 776 of the family's 1533-position model. The record is from RNAcentral.